GAUGAACGCUGGCGGCGUGCCUAAUACAUGCAAGUCGAGCGAACAGACGAGGAGCUUGCUCCUCUGACGUUAGCGGCGGACGGGUGAGUAACACGUGGAUAACCUACCUAUAAGACUGGGAUAACUUCGGGAAACCGGAGCUAAUACCGGAUAAUAUAUUGAACCGCAUGGUUCAAUAGUGAAAGACGGUUUUGCUGUCACUUAUAGAUGGAUCCGCGCCGCAUUAGCUAGUUGGUAAGGUAACGGCUUACCAAGGCGACGAUGCGUAGCCGACCUGAGAGGGUGAUCGGCCACACUGGAACUGAGACACGGUCCAGACUCCUACGGGAGGCAGCAGUAGGGAAUCUUCCGCAAUGGGCGAAAGCCUGACGGAGCAACGCCGCGUGAGUGAUGAAGGUCUUCGGAUCGUAAAACUCUGUUAUUAGGGAAGAACAAAUGUGUAAGUAACGAUGCACGUCUUGACGGUACCUAUCAGAAAGCCACGGCUAACUACGUG
Molecule: ribosomal RNA, 496 nt
Filed under: uncultured bacterium
Lineage: Bacteria
Description: partial 16S ribosomal RNA
Rfam family: Bacterial small subunit ribosomal RNA
Source: RNAcentral